RNAcentral lists this ribosomal RNA (468 nucleotides) under uncultured bacterium. RNAcentral's name for it is "partial 16S ribosomal RNA". It matches the Rfam family "Bacterial small subunit ribosomal RNA", at positions 28 to 507 of the family's 1533-position model. The record is from RNAcentral.
GACGAACGCUGGCGGCGUGCUUAACACAUGCAAGUCGAACGGAAAGGCCCUGCUUUUGUGGGGUGCUCGAGUGGCGAACGGGUGAGUAACACGUGAGUAACCUGCCCUUGACUUUGGGAUAACUUCAGGAAACUGGGGCUAAUACCGGAUAGGAGCUCCUGCUGCAUGGUGGGGGUUGGAAAGUUUCGGCGGUUGGGGAUGGACUCGCGGCUUAUCAGCUUGUUGGUUGGGUAUUGGCUUACCAAGUCUUUGACGGGUAGCCGGCCUGAGAGGGUGACCGGCGACAUUGGGACUGAGAGACGGCCCAGACUCCUACAGUAGGCAGCAGUGGGGAAUAUUGCACAAUGAUCGGAAGCCUGAUGCAGAAACGCCGCGAGCGGAAUGCCGGCCUACGGGUUGUAAACCGCUUUCGCCUGUGACGAAGCGUGAGUGACGGUAAUGGGUAAAGAAGCACCGGCUAACUACGUG